Molecule: unclassified non-coding RNA, 212 nt
Organism: Peromyscus maniculatus bairdii (prairie deer mouse)
Lineage: Eukaryota; Metazoa; Chordata; Mammalia; Rodentia; Cricetidae
Source: Ensembl
GAGCUGUGUGACUUUUCCAUCUGGGCUGCACUGAACUAAGAAAGUCAGGGGCAUAUUGUAUGGACAGGACACAUGCCAGACUUUGAAACUCAGUGAGUAAAGGAGUCCACCCCACCCCACAUACACUCAGCACAUAUCAUGCUGGGAUUCAGAGUAACAGGUAUCCUAUUGGGAGGUCUUUUCUUAGACUUUUGGUUGCCUAGCAACAAGAC